AGCGAACGCUGGCGGCAGGCCUAACACAUGCAAGUCGAACGAACCUUCCGGGGUUUUUGGCGGAUGGGUGAGGAACACGUGGGAACGUGCCCUUAGGUUCGGAAUAACUCAGGGAAACGUGUGCUAAUACCGAAUGUGCUCUUCGGGGGAACGAUUUAUUGCCUCUAGAGGGGCCCGCGUCUGAUUAGGUAGUUGGGUGAGGUAAUGGCACAUCAAGGCGUCGUUCAGUAGUUGGUCUGAGAGGAUGAUCUGCCACGUUGGAGCUAUGACACGGCCCAAACUCCUACGGAAGGGAGGAGUGGGGGAUCUUGCGCAAUGGACGAAGGCCUGACGCAGCCAUGCCGGGUAAAUGAUGAAGGUCUUAGGAAUGUAAAAUUCUUUCACCGGGGACGAUAAUGACGGUACCCGGAGAAGAAGCCCCGGCUAACUUCGUG
RNAcentral lists this ribosomal RNA (434 nucleotides) under uncultured bacterium. Its description in RNAcentral is "partial 16S ribosomal RNA". It matches the Rfam family "Bacterial small subunit ribosomal RNA", at positions 29 to 507 of the family's 1533-position model. The record is from RNAcentral.